UUGAACGCUGGCGGCAGGCUUAACACAUGCAAGUCGAGCGGAAACGAUGUAGCUUGCUACAGGCGUCGAGCGGCGGACGGGUGAGUAACGCGUAGGAAUCUGCCUAGUAGUGGGGGACAACAUGUGGAAACGCAUGCUAAUACCGCAUACGCCCUACGGGGGAAAGGAGGGGAUCUUCGGACCUUUCGCUAUUAGAUGAGCCUGCGUAAGAUUAGCUAGUUGGUAGGGUAAAGGCCUACCAAGGCGACGAUCUUUAACUGGUCUGAGAGGAUGGCCAGUCACACUGGGACUGAGGCACGGCCCAGACUCCUACGGGAGGCAGCAGUGGGGAAUAUUGGACAAUGGGCGCAAGCCUGAUCCAGCCAUGCCGCGUGUGUGAAGAAGGCCUUAGGGUUGUAAAGCACUUUCAGGGGUGAGGAAGGGUGUUUGGUUAAUAUCCAAACAUUUUGACGUUAGCCCCAGAAGAAGCACCGGCUAACUCUGUG
RNAcentral lists this ribosomal RNA (485 nucleotides) under uncultured bacterium. Its description in RNAcentral is "partial 16S ribosomal RNA". It matches the Rfam family "Bacterial small subunit ribosomal RNA", at positions 30 to 507 of the family's 1533-position model. The record is from RNAcentral.